Molecule: non-coding RNA, 1354 nt
Organism: Maylandia zebra (zebra mbuna)
Lineage: Eukaryota; Metazoa; Chordata; Actinopteri; Cichliformes; Cichlidae
Source: RefSeq, a predicted model, not a curated record
GAUUAUAGUUAUAUAAGUUUCCCUCCCACUCCCGCCGUCGUCAUGGCAACCCCCACCCCUCCUUUUUGAACGUCAGAGCCGGGAGCUGGAGGAUGAAGCCGCAUCCAGCUUCAGCAUCUCGUGCCUCUCAGAGAGCACCUGUGAUUAUUUUGCAGAGGAGGAGCAGCUGCUGCAGCGACGGCGAUCAUCUAAUGAGAGGUUCGGACUCUGGGCUGCUCUUCGUCGCUUAAAAAAAUCGCCACCGAUCGAGCAGCGUCUGCAGCCGGUAUGUCGUGGUUGUUCUUGGACUGGUUCGUCCCACUCUACUUGCUGGUGUCGGUGUUGGUGCUGGCAGGCUUCGGAGCGUGCCUGUACUUCCUAGAGCCCGGGUUGCAGGAUGCCCACAAGUGGAGCAACAAAACAGUCCGGCAUCACCCGCUGGUGGCCAGUGUGAACUGCAGAGAUGACGAUAGCAAUGCCCUGAUAUGAUCAAGAGGGCGAGGCGAAGCGGGAGGGCGGCUGACCAUCUGGACAGGGGUGCUGCCGCCGGGACACCCGUGGGAUGGGAGCCAACACCCAAACGACCGUGGAAGAAAAAUGGGAGAGAAGGACGAGAAAGGAGGGGAACAUUAUCUGUUGUCUGAUAAUGCAAACCCUGUUCUAUAUCAUUCCAACUUUUCUCUGAUCUCUGCUGAUUUUCGUUGUAGAGGUGAGAGAAAAGUAAAGCAGAGGUGUUUUUAACGUUCUUAAAAAUAAAAAUAAAAAAAGAAGAAGAAAAAUAAAAAUAAAAAAGCCAGAUGCACAAUGCGAAGAAGACUGCAUCCAGAAAGAGAUCGUGAGGUGAUUGGAGGAAGUGUUGCCCUUUAGAAAUGUGUUUGUAAAUUUCACGCCAUCCUAUACUUGUGCCAAGUUUUACAUGCAUUUUGUAAUUUUGACAAUCACUUUGCAUAUCUCAUAAAGUUUACUUACAUUGUGCAUUUAAUUAGCUGAAGUGAGCGACAUAAGUGCAAUGACUUUGCUGCCACCGGGGAGGGUUUUUAAUCCUCUCUCUGAAGUCGGCGUGGCAGCUGCUCAGACGCAUGUGGAUUGUUUAGUGCCGCUGUGCCAAAACGGUGUGUUAUUCGUGACUUACUUUAAACUGUUAUGUACCCAAUAAAUGCAACUGAUUCAUUUAAGGUGCCAAGAUUAUCAUAGAUGGACCAAGACGACUGACAAAUAGCCUAGUAUUUGGUAAAGGGUUUUUUUUUUCUUUGCUUUGUUUGUUUUCAUUGUUUUUACUUGACAGCAUGGUGAGAAACUGUGGGUGUGUAACGACCCUCUUUUAAGAAUCAUAUGCUUCCUUUGUUCAUACAAAAAUAAAACUGCUCAGUCCCCA